GAAGAAUGAAUUUAUCAUAUAUUUUAUUAAUUGGGUGCAAACAAAUUACUCUCUAAUUCUAAAGAAAUUAAUGAAUGGUUGUUUGGGUCAGAGUUAGGAUAACAAUCCAAAGUCAAGACAAAACCCCAAAUCAAAUAAUUAAGCACGAGAUGCACACCAAACAGGAACUCCUGUUACUACUCCUCCAGGAUAAUUCUGCUCCACCGCAGGCAAUCCCCAGGUUGGCCGUGACGACGAUGACGAGGAAGAAAUCUGGUAAUGCGGUAAAUUCUUUCCCGAUACUGCUAGCCCAUUCACUUUUACAGAAACAUUAAUAAUUCCGUUCUUUACACCCCUCGCAUCCCUCAGCCUGUAACUCAAAAAGUGCAAAUAGUUCACUGGUGUAUAACCCCCAAAAAAAUCAGAAACAGGAACCAUAGCUGUGCCAAUAACUCUAUUCCCUGAGCCAAUCUUACAUUGCACUUCCAGGACAAUAAAGCGAGCAUGCAUUGGCAUAUCCAUUUCGAGUUUUUGAUUCCAGGAAGGAUUGCUUCCCCCUUCAUGAUCAGCCUUGGUAGAUUUAGAAUUGAGAGAAUCAAAUUUUACAACAACGAAGGCGUCCUUUUUCACGGAUUUUCCAUCCAGACGCAGGUUUUCAGCAGAUAAAACUGUGAUUUCCAGAGUGCGGGGUGCAGAAUCCAUGGGAAUGAGACCAAAGAAGUUAAUUAAGAUUGUUGAGAAAGU
This 723-nucleotide unclassified non-coding RNA is filed under the name Hevea brasiliensis (rubber tree). The record is from RNAcentral. Lineage: Eukaryota; Viridiplantae; Streptophyta; Magnoliopsida; Malpighiales; Euphorbiaceae.